Molecule: non-coding RNA, 1040 nt
Organism: Camellia sinensis
Lineage: Eukaryota; Viridiplantae; Streptophyta; Magnoliopsida; Ericales; Theaceae
Source: RefSeq, a predicted model, not a curated record
UUUACUGACAAUAGCAGUCAACCUACUUGUGAAAACUAACCUGCCGUAUAUAUAUUUCCUCUUCUAUUCAUUAUUACAAUCUGCAAGAUCUGCAGAUGUAGGUGAGCAAAAAGCUAAGGUUUGGUAAGACAUUAAGCUAUGCAAAGCUGAAGACAAUUGAUUUGGAAAUUCUAGUGAAUCUUGCUGGUGACAAGGAAAGAUAUUUAAACUCUCACAUGGUGCUAAAAUCUUGGGAUCUUAGAGAAUUUUCUUUUCUGUACACCCGUCAUUCAAAGUUAAAUAUCUCUAUCUUACCAUGACUUUGGAUUGAGUAAGAUUGAUGGUGUUGGAAUUUUAUCCUUCAUAUCUAGAUGGGUUAUUCUUGACAUCGUUUGAGAGGUAAAAAUCUACCUAAGUUCCUUUUCCUUUUCAAAUCAAGCUCUUUGAAUCAUAAAUUUAGGUAUGAAUUUAAAAAAAGAAAAAAGAAAAAAAAAAGAAAAAAGGGAAAUAGUGAGACAAUUGUUAAUAAAAAUAUAAGUUUUUUUUUUUUUUUUUUUCAUUUCGCUUUUAUUUUCAAAUUUCUAUUGAAAUUUAUAUCCAAACACAGCGUUAUUUCCUUGUUUGAAAUUUGCAUUAAUUCGACGAAAGCUAUGUUAGUAUAUGUUACAUUAACGGUAUGAAUAUGAGUGUAAUUGUGUGUCUUGGACCGAAUAAUAAUAUAUACUCAAUAUUUUAUUGAGAAAUUUAUUAGGAAAUCUUAUUAAGUAUUUGUAUCUGAAUUAAUACAUAAUAUAUUCUUGUAUUUUAAGUCCUAUUAUUUGGACAUUUGAUUCACUAAAUUCUACUUCUUAGAUUUAAGGUAAUUUUUUGAACAAUUGUACACUUACAAAUAUUUUUUGUAUCCUUAACAAUUUAGUGAUAUGAACAUUCAUAUUUGAUAGUAUGAAUGUUCAUAUCACGGUAAAUUCACACUGUUAAGAUUAAUGCACUUUACCCUAUUAUUAUUAGAGAUAUCUUAGUAACGAUAUCACCCAUAACACAUUGAAAUAUAAUAAGAUAAU